UGCAAGUCGAACGGAGAUCUUGAAUAGCUUGCUAAUUGAGAUCUUAGUGGCGGACGGGUUAGUAACACGUGAGAACCUACCCUUUAGACAGGAAUAGCCCACGGAAACGUGGAUUAAUGCCUGAUAGUCUCUACGGAGUAAAUGGUGCCUUCUGGUAUCGCUAGAGGAUGGGCUCGCGGCCUAUCAGCUUGUUGGUGAGGUAAAGGCUCACCAAGGCGACGACGGGUAGCUGGUCUGAGAGGACGAUCAGCAACACUGGAACUGAGACACGGUCCAGACACCUACGGGUGGCAGCAGUCGAGAAUCAUUCACAAUGGAGGCAACUCUGAUGGUGCAACGCCGCGUGGAGGAUGACGGUCCUAGGAUUGUAAACUCCUGUCAUUGGGGAGUAAGACUUAAGCGUUAAGAGCGUUUGAGUUUGAUAGUACCCAAAGAGGAAGGGACGGCUAACUUCGUGCCAGCAGCCGCGGUAAUACGAAGGUCCCAAGCGUUGUUCGGAAUCACUGGGCGUAAAGCGUGUGUAGGCUGCGCGGAAAGUCAAAUGUGAAAGCCCGGGGCUCGACCUCGGAACUGCAUUCGAUACUCCCGUGCUAGAGUAAUGGAGAGGUAAGUGGAAUUCCUGGUGUAGCAGUGAAAUGCGUGGAUAUCAGGAGGAACAUCAAUGGCGAAGGCAACUUACUGGACAUUUACUGACGCUCAGACACGAAGGCUAGGGUAGCGAAAGGGAUUAGAUACCCCUGUAGUCCUAGCAGUAAACGGUGCUCGCUUGGUGUGGGAGGAUUCGACCCCUUCUGUGCCGGAGCUAACGCGUUAAGCG
This 817-nucleotide ribosomal RNA is filed under the name uncultured marine bacterium. RNAcentral's name for it is "bacterial SSU rRNA". It matches the Rfam family "Bacterial small subunit ribosomal RNA", at positions 56 to 866 of the family's 1533-position model. The record is from RNAcentral.